CUGGUCUGGCUGAGCUUUAGUGUCAUGGAGGUUAACGAGAGGCUAGUCUGGUCUGGCUGAGCUUUAGUGUCAUGGAGGUUAACGAGAGGCUUGUCUGGUCUGGCUGAGCUUUAGUGUCAUGGAGGUUAACGAGAGGCUUGUCUGGUCUGGCUGAGCUUUAGUGUCAUGGAGGUUAACGAGAGGCUAGUCUGGUCUGGCUGAGCUUUAGUGUCAUGGAGGUUAACGAGAGGCUUGUCUGGUCUGGCUGAGCUUUAGUGUCAUGGAG
Molecule: long non-coding RNA, 265 nt
Organism: Oncorhynchus keta (chum salmon)
Lineage: Eukaryota; Metazoa; Chordata; Actinopteri; Salmoniformes; Salmonidae
Exons: 3
Source: RefSeq, a predicted model, not a curated record